Molecule: unclassified non-coding RNA, 387 nt
Filed under: Bombus terrestris (buff-tailed bumblebee)
Lineage: Eukaryota; Metazoa; Arthropoda; Insecta; Hymenoptera; Apidae
Description: misc RNA ENSBTSG00005024880.1
Source: RNAcentral
AAAUAUGUCCCUUCUAUAAGACUUUCCACUGAUCGUUAGAAGCGUAACAAUUAAAAGAUACAAUAGAGGCGAUGCAUCAAAGUACAGUUUAGUACUGUCGAAUGGUUUGCAGUGACACGAAUUAGCAUCAUCAGCGAUUGUGCUGUAACUCACGCGGCGCCAGCAUUCCAGCCAACUAUUUGGACAACUAUAGAAGGAGGCAACUUGCUUCUCCGAUUUCGGUUUACCAACGAUCUAAUAGUUCCUACUGGGUUCCUUCUCUACCAUUUUCUGCUGCAUUUGUGCAAAUACAUAUGUAUUAAACCAUAUCGAAUCUACAACAACAUUUUUAAAAUAAAUCCGGACAUUUUCGAGAAAUCAAUUUCAAAAUAGCAGCGAAUUUGUAUC